UAUCUGCAGGAUCUACCCCCAUUUCCUCCACAGUCUGUGAUUGGUUUCUUAUAGGGAAGGAAAGACUCUGUCCAGCCAACACCCAAUGCUUGCUGCACACCCCGUACUACUGCCCCUUCCUUGGUUAUAAGCAAGAGAUCGACACAGGUGGGAAAUACCAAGAAGAAAAAACCCAGCACCAGCAAUGGCCAGUGGGAAUGAAAGGUUUGAGUCAAAGAGAUGCAACAGGACAGAACAAAUCACCCACAAACGAAGGAAUGAAGACCUCCUGACAUUCUACCUGCGUCAUCAGGAUGCAAUAAGUAGUCCCUGUGCAUGCCACCAAAGCAACAUUUUCACUCUGCCAUGUUCUGACGCUAUGAGGAGAGACAUCCAAGUGCUUCAGAAGUUCAUCAGAAAGUACGAGCCCCAUGGAGCUGUUGUUACCAAAGAAGAAGUUGUUAUUGUCAGUGAAGACACUGAUGUUUGCAGACAAACAUCAUCAAAGAACUCCAGCAAAGCUGCAACCCUAAUGGAAGAGCACAGGGUAGAAGCAGGAAGCAGAGGCUGCCCAGACU
Molecule: non-coding RNA, 557 nt
Organism: Meleagris gallopavo (turkey)
Lineage: Eukaryota; Metazoa; Chordata; Aves; Galliformes; Phasianidae
Source: RefSeq, a predicted model, not a curated record